UGCUGACGUGGCGGAACUGGUAUACGCGCAUGCUUGAGGUGCAUGUGCCUUCGGGCUUGGGAGUUCGAGUCUCCCCGUCAGCAU
This 84-nucleotide transfer RNA is filed under the name Parcubacteria group bacterium ADurb.Bin326. RNAcentral describes it as "tRNA-Leu". It matches the Rfam family "tRNA". Rfam says of the family: Transfer RNA (tRNA) molecules are approximately 80 nucleotides in length. Their secondary structure includes four short double-helical elements and three loops (D, anti-codon, and T loops). The record is from RNAcentral.